This 491-nucleotide ribosomal RNA is filed under the name uncultured bacterium. RNAcentral describes it as "bacterial SSU rRNA". It matches the Rfam family "Bacterial small subunit ribosomal RNA", at positions 19 to 507 of the family's 1533-position model. The record is from RNAcentral.
AUGGCUCAGAUUGAACGCUGGCGGAAUGCUUUACACAUGCAAGUCGAACGGCAGCACGGGGCAACCUGGUGGCGAGUGGCGAACGGGUGAGUAAUACAUCGGAACGUGCCCAAUCGUGGGGGAUAACGUAGCGAAAGUUACGCUAAUACCGCAUACGAUCUACGGAUAAAAGCGGGGGAUCGCAAGACCUCGCGCGAAUGGAGCGGCCGAUGCCAGAUUAGGUAGUUGGUGGGGUAAAGGCUCACCAAGCCGACGAUCUGUAGCUGGUCUGAGAGGACGACCAGCCACACUGGGACUGAGACACGGCCCAGACUCCUACGGGAGGCAGCAGUGGGGAAUUUUGGACAAUGGGCGCAAGCCUGAUCCAGCCAUUCCGCGUGCAGGAUGAAGGCCUUCGGGUUGUAAACUGCUUUUGUACGGAACGAAACGGUUCUCUCUAAUACAGGGGGCUAAUGACGGUACCGUAAGAAUAAGCACCGGCUAACUACGUG